This is a long non-coding RNA of Serinus canaria (Common canary), 330 nucleotides long. RefSeq lists it as uncharacterized. The record is from RefSeq and is a predicted model, not a curated record. The transcript is spliced from 2 exons. NCBI's taxonomy places the organism in Eukaryota, Metazoa, Chordata, Aves, Passeriformes, Fringillidae.
GGGGCCCGCCCGGCUGGGCGGGGGGGGCGGCAGCGGCCGGGGCGUCCCGCGGGAGCCGGGGAAAAGAAGACACCUCCAAAUGGAAAUGCCAUUCCAUCAGUUUAUCCUUGGGGGAUCAUUCUGUGCUGCCAGAACAGAGCCAAGAGCAACCUAAAAAUGCAACCUAAAUGUCCCAAGCUUCUCCACUCCACAAAAAGGGGAUUUGAGGCUGUUUUUUCAUGGAAUUCCAACAGCCCCGGGCACUGCAAUUGGCCUUUGGGAUGAGAAGCAAAUUCCAAUUUCCCCGGAUCAUGGCAAGGACCUUUCUUUAUUAAAUUUUAGUGAACUUCA